Molecule: long non-coding RNA, 2821 nt
Filed under: Gallus gallus (chicken)
Lineage: Eukaryota; Metazoa; Chordata; Aves; Galliformes; Phasianidae
Source: RNAcentral
AUUGUGUGUAUGCUUGAGUUACUGAGGACAUGCUGAGUACAAAAGUCUGCAUAAGCAUGGUGGAGUUCACAGCAAUGCAACUACUCUGCAGAGAUUCUCCCAGGCACUCGGUGCUCCCUUGGUCAUCCCCAGCUUCAGCAGCCAUUCUUCGGAACGUAUUAGUGAAGAGAGAUUUGUUGCCAUGCUGCAUCACACCAUUUUUUUUUCCUCCAGCUAUUAUAUUACUUGCUAGGCUGUUGAAAAGAAGAAGCAAAAAUACAGCUCAAACUACCAGCAUUCUUUGCCACAAACCUGUAUCAACAGCAGCUUGUCCUGGCCGUUGAGCUCAUCUCUCAAAUCUGUAAAGCCUAACUCUGGCAAAUCUGUUCACAGCAUGUUUAGCUUAAAUCCUUCAAGCAUUACUAUUGUAAAUUAGGAAGUAUUCUGAAGUGCCUCAGUGAUACAUUUAACUGGGGCCUAAAGAAACGAGUAAAUAAGAUAUAAGGCGGAAAAGAAUGUGUCCUUGAUUUGAGUGUUUUCCCUGUUGUUUAGGAUAAUGCAUUUUAUCACUGAAUAAUUUCUGAUCUUUGCAAAACACUAUGGAAAUUGCUUGUUGACACAGUGUCAGAGCUGAGAUGUUUAUGUUUUCCUGGUGCUUUUAAUCUGUCGCAAAUCUUUGGCAACAAUAUCUUUGAGGCUGGGGAAAAUGUGUCUGAAAUUGUAUUGACAUUGCAAAUGGAUUUACAAGCUUGUCCUUUAAAAUCUUCUUUCCCCUUUGUGCUUUACUGCUUACAGUAGAGUGGCAAUAUUCUGGAUAACUUCAGAAAUACGUAUAGUGGUUUGAAUGCAAACUGUGUAUUCUGAGACCAAGUUUCCAUCUCAGCAUCACUGCAACCACCAUUUUUGUAUACUGAGAUAUAGGUGAUGCCAUAUGCUAUGUCUGCUAUUUCAUCUCACUGAGUAACACUGUAGACAAACAGAGAACAACUAAGAGCAUCAACAAAAUCAUUUCAUACUAAAGACAGCAUUUCUGUGAUGCAACACGUGGAGACUGUUCCUACUUUUCAUGUGGAAUUUCACAGUACAGCCAUGCAAUAAGGAAACCACUGGGUCGCCAAAUGACUCACUGCAUCACUUGGUAAUAAACAAAUGCUUGCUUCAUAAAAUGCAUCUUUCUACUAAAUUCCUGCCUUGAGAGUUUUAUGUAGCUGUAAAAAUUUGCUGAAAAAGCUCUGAGAUGUACAGAGUGAUACUAGUUUGAAUUACAGCUUCCCUAUUCAAAUAGCCUUACACUAUUCCUCUGAAAAGUUGCUUUAUCAGAAAUGGGAUCUUUAUUUCACACAGAUGACAUGUGAACACACUGGCUUGGAGGAGAAUAGAUUCCAUAUAGCUUUUCUGGUUAUGAACAUGAUGAGACUGCAAGUAUUUCACUCCUACUACAGACUCAGGGCUCCAGUUUUGCCUGCUACGUGUCCUUUGAUAUGGAUUGAUAAUAAGAAAUAUCUCCACUUCACUGAUUUCUGGUUUUUUUUCUAACUCCUCUCAUAUCUGCUGCUAACCCAUUAGUGAAAGAAAGAAUAUAAAUAAUGAAUGAGCCAUUACAAUGCAGGAUCCUAGUGAAAGACUGCAAGAAACUCAGACUUUUCCAGGGAAGGCUAACAUGAUUCAUACCGUACGCUUGCAUAAUAUUGGCGGCUAUAAGACUUAGGAGGAAUUAUUUUAACAGUUUGUUGUUCUCACAUAUCUUUAAAUAUUUGUCAUUGUGGGUCUCAGGGGAAGCCCAUGUUUAAGUUGGACAAGAGUUGUACGGAUAAAUCAUUACUGCUAGCAGAUCAUUCAGGACCAUCCACUUCCAUAGUCAGGCUCUAUUACUCACCAGUUCUAGCGCCAGCUGAAGACACCAAGGCACGGCUUCAUGCUGGAAUAUCACUGGAAUCUUUGAAUAUUACUGGAUCUCUGAGUAGUGCCCAGAGCUGCCUAUGGAGCCACAUAGGCCACAGAUUUCUGAAAUUUGAAAACCUUCACAGUUGUGAAUUUUCCAGCUGUUCUGUUUCAUAGAUUUAUUUACCCAUUUUGCAACUCUUCAAAAUUAAACUAAAUAUAAAACUGAUGUGUCACUGCCAAAUCCAAAAUCAAAGCAUUUAUUGUGAAAAUAUCAAGAUUAAACUUUUAAUCUUUGAUUCCUUCCCUCUUGGCUUUUCCAGAUGAGACAAUUAAGGAAAUUCAUUUGAAGUUCCCAUGUACUCUUGCUGCCUUGACUUGUUCAGAGAAUUUACUAUUUAGAAUCAAAAUGGUGUUCCUCCGAAGCAGUGCAAAGCAAUCCUUCCUCUGCAGCCAAGACAUUCUGCAAAACUGAGAGCCAAAAGGGCUCCCAAUAGGCAGUCCACUCUCAUGCUGUCCCACAUAAGCAAUCACAUGUUGCACAUAUUGAAACAUUUGCAGUUCUAAUUGUAGGAGUUUUCAAGUAAACACCUUGAUUUCAUGUUUUAUUUUUUUUUGCGUUGUUGUUUAAAAUUUGAGUUCUCCUUCACAGUGUUGCAAACACAAACACAGCCACGCAGAACAAUACUUCCAUGGAACAGAAUUUGUGUAAUUUGGCUACCCAGACAACUGGGUAAGCCCAAUUACACAAAUGCAAGGAGCUGGAAUCUCUAGGGUCUUCCAUGGGGGGAGAGCCCUGCGUGCGAACGGAUUGGCACUUGUCUUGCUCCAUCCUUUUUUCAUGUGUCAUUCCAGAAAGCAGAACCAGACUACAAACUCAUGCCGUGGCUCCACAGCCAGCUGAGGCCGAGAAGCCUGAGGAGUUUCUUUUAUGCGCCUAGCAUGAGCCUGUAUAUUAAAG